This 409-nucleotide long non-coding RNA is filed under the name Vigna radiata. RNAcentral's name for it is "long non-coding RNA (VRAD_LNC007841)". The record is from RNAcentral. Lineage: Eukaryota; Viridiplantae; Streptophyta; Magnoliopsida; Fabales; Fabaceae.
CAAGAAGAAGAUCAAAAGAAGGUGGAAGAGGAAGAAGAUCGAAGAAGAAGGAGAAGGUCCGAGAAGAAGAAGAUCGAAGAAGCAGAGGUAAGUGCAGAGAAAAACUUAAUAUGUGUUAUGUUUUCUGUAUUAUAUGUUUGUUACCAUUUACAUCAAAGAGAGAACUUUAUUUAUAGAGUUCUCUGGGGAUGGGGGGAGAACAUAAAAAGGGAAAUAGAAAAUAAUGGGAAAUCCUAACAGAACAUGUGUGAUUACUGUAAAUAAACAGAUCCACUAAGUAACUAACUCUAAUAAGAGGACACAAUGUAUAUAUGCAUUGAAUGGCCAUUUAUUAGUUAAAAAUAUCCAACUUUAUGAAGGAAUUGAAGUCUUUCUUUAUUGGGUCAGAUGUUGAUACAAGCUCAAGCUG